UGCAGUCGAGCGGCAGCACGGGUACUUGUACCUGGUGGCGAGCGGCGGCACGGGUGAGUAAUGCCUAGGAAUCUGCCUAGUAGUGGGGGAUAACGUCCGGAAACGGGCGCUAAUACCGCAUACGUCCUACGGGAGAAAGUGGGGGAUCUUCGGACCUCACGCUAUUAGAUGAGCCUAGGUCGGAUUAGCUAGUUGGUGAGGUAAUGGCUCACCAAGGCUACGAUCCGUAACUGGUCUGAGAGGAUGAUCAGUCACACUGGAACUGAGACACGGUCCAGACUCCUACGGGAGGCAGCAGUGGGGAAUAUUGGACAAUGGGCGAAAGCCUGAUCCAGCCAUGCCGCGUGUGUGAAGAAGGUCUUCGGAUUGUAAAGCACUUUAAGUUGGGAGGAAGGGCAGUUACCUAAUACGUGAUUGUUUUGACGUUACCGACAGAAUAAGCACCGGCUAACUCUGUGCCAGCAGCCGCGGUAAUACAGAGGGUGCAAGCGUUAAUCGGAAUUACUGGGCGUAAAGCGCGCGUAGGUGGUUUGUUAAGUUGAAUGUGAAAGCCCCGGGCUCAACCUGGGAACUGCAUCCAAAACUGGCAAGCUAGAGUAUGGUAGAGGGUGGUGGAAUUUCCUGUGUAGCGGUGAAAUGCGUAUAUAUAGGAAGGAACACCAGUGGCGAGGCGACCACCC
Molecule: ribosomal RNA, 680 nt
Filed under: Pseudomonas sp.
Lineage: Bacteria; Pseudomonadati; Pseudomonadota; Gammaproteobacteria; Pseudomonadales; Pseudomonadaceae
Description: bacterial SSU rRNA
Rfam family: Bacterial small subunit ribosomal RNA
Source: RNAcentral